GAUGAACGCUGGCGGCGUGCCUAAUACAUGCAAGUCGAGCGAACGGACGAGAAGCUUGCUUCUCUGAUGUUAGCGGCGGACGGGUGAGUAACACGUGGAUAACCUACCUAUAAGACUGGGAUAACUUCGGGAAACCGGAGCUAAUACCGGAUAAUAUUUUGAACCGCAUGGUUCAAAAGUGAAAGACGGUCUUGCUGUCACUUAUAGAUGGAUCCGCGCUGCAUUAGCUAGUUGGUAAGGUAACGGCUUACCAAGGCAACGAUGCAUAGCCGACCUGAGAGGGUGAUCGGCGACACUGGAACUGAGCCACGGUCCAGACUCCUACGGGAGGCAGCAGUAGGGAAUCUUCCGCAAUGGGCGAAAGCCUGACGGAGCAACGCCGCGUGAGUGAUGAAGGUCUUCGGAUCGUAAAACUCUGUUAUUAGGGAAGAACAUAUGUGUAAGUAACUGUGCACAUCUUGACGGUACCUAAUCAGAAAGCCACGGCUAACUACGUG
This 497-nucleotide ribosomal RNA is filed under the name uncultured bacterium. RNAcentral's name for it is "partial 16S ribosomal RNA". It matches the Rfam family "Bacterial small subunit ribosomal RNA", at positions 28 to 507 of the family's 1533-position model. The record is from RNAcentral.